CAAGUCGCACGGGCAGGGGCAACUCUGUCAGUGGCGGACGGGUGAGUAACGCGUAGGUAUCUAUCCUUGGGUGGGGGACAACUGUGGGAAACUACAGCUAAUACCGCAUGAUGACCGAGGUCCAAAGCUCGCGAGAGCGCCUGGGGAGGAGCCUGCGUACGAUUAGCUAGUUGGUGGGGUAAAGGCCUACCAAGGCGACGAUCGUUAGCUGGUCUGAGAGGAUGAUCAGCCACAUUGGGACUGAGACACGGCCCAAACUCCUACGGGAGGCAGCAGUGGGGAAUAUUGGACAAUGGGCGCAAGCCUGAUCCAGCAAUGCCGCGUGUGUGAAGAAGGUCUUCGGAUUGUAAAGCACUUUCGACGGGGACGAUGAUGACGGUACCCGUAGAAGAAGCCCCGGCUAACUUCGUGCCAGCAGCCGCGGUAAUACGAAGGGGGCUAGCGUUGCUCGGAAUGACUGGGCGUAAAGGGCGCGUAGGCGGAUGGCACAGUCAGAUGUGAAAUUCCCGGGCUUAACCUGGGGGCUGCAUUUGAUACGUGUUGUCUAGAGUGAGGAAGAGGGUCGUGGAAUUCCCAGUGUAGAGGUGAGAUUCGUAGAUAUUGGGAAGAACACCGGUGGCGAAGGCGGCGACCUGGUCCUUGACUGACGCUGAGGCGCGAAAGCGUGGGGAGCAAACAGGAUUAGAUACCCUGGUAGUCCACGCUGUAAACGAUGUGUGCUGGAUGUUGGGUGACCUAGUCGCUCAGUGUCGUAGCUAACGCGAUAAGCACACCGCCUGGGGAGUACGGCCGCAAGGUUGAAACUCAAAGGAAUUGACGGGGGCCCGCACAAGCGGUGGAGCAUGUGGUUUAAUUC
This 856-nucleotide ribosomal RNA is filed under the name uncultured Acetobacteraceae bacterium. RNAcentral describes it as "bacterial SSU rRNA". It matches the Rfam family "Bacterial small subunit ribosomal RNA", at positions 58 to 952 of the family's 1533-position model. The record is from RNAcentral. Lineage: Bacteria; Pseudomonadati; Pseudomonadota; Alphaproteobacteria; Acetobacterales; Acetobacteraceae.